This 2903-nucleotide ribosomal RNA is filed under the name Escherichia coli KTE205. RNAcentral's name for it is "bacterial LSU rRNA". It matches the Rfam family "Bacterial large subunit ribosomal RNA". Lineage: Bacteria; Pseudomonadati; Pseudomonadota; Gammaproteobacteria; Enterobacterales; Enterobacteriaceae. The record is from RNAcentral.
UUAAGCGACUAAGCGUACACGGUGGAUGCCCUGGCAGUCAGAGGCGAUGAAGGACGUGCUAAUCUGCGAUAAGCGUCGGUGAGGUGAUAUGAACCGUUAUAACCGGCGAUUUCCGAAUGGGGAAACCCAGUGUGUUUCGACACACUAUCAUUAACUGAAUCCAUAGGUUAAUGAGGCGAACCGGGGGAACUGAAACAUCUAAGUACCCCGAGGAAAAGAAAUCAACCGAGAUUCCCCCAGUAGCGGCGAGCGAACGGGGAGGAGCCCAGAGCCUGAAUCAGUGUGUGUGUUAGUGGAAGCGUCUGGAAAGGCGCGCGAUACAGGGUGACAGCCCCGUACACAAAAAUGCACAUAUUGUGAGCUCGAUGAGUAGGGCGGGACACGUGGUAUCCUGUCUGAAUAUGGGGGGACCAUCCUCCAAGGCUAAAUACUCCUGACUGACCGAUAGUGAACCAGUACCGUGAGGGAAAGGCGAAAAGAACCCCGGCGAGGGGAGUGAAAAAGAACCUGAAACCGUGUACGUACAAGCAGUGGGAGCCUCUUAAUGGGGUGACUGCGUACCUUUUGUAUAAUGGGUCAGCGACUUAUAUUCUGUAGCAAGGUUAACCGAAUAGGGGAGCCGAAGGGAAACCGAGUCUUAACUGGGCGUUAAGUUGCAGGGUAUAGACCCGAAACCCGGUGAUCUAGCCAUGGGCAGGUUGAAGGUUGGGUAACACUAACUGGAGGACCGAACCGACUAAUGUUGAAAAAUUAGCGGAUGACUUGUGGCUGGGGGGGAAAGGCCAAUCAAACCGGGAGAUAGCUGGUUCUCCCCGAAAGCUAUUUAGGUAGCGCCUCGUGAAUUCAUCUCCGGGGGUAGAGCACUGUUUCGGCAAGGGGGUCAUCCCGACUUACCAACCCGAUGCAAACUGCGAAUACCGGAGAAUGUUAUCACGGGAGACACACGGCGGGUGCUAACGUCCGUCGUGAAGAGGGAAACAACCCAGACCGCCAGCUAAGGUCCCAAAGUCAUGGUUAAGUGGGAAACGAUGUGGGAAGGCCCAGACAGCCAGGAUGUUGGCUUAGAAGCAGCCAUCAUUUAAAGAAAGCGUAAUAGCUCACUGGUCGAGUCGGCCUGCGCGGAAGAUGUAACGGGGCUAAACCAUGCACCGAAGCUGCGGCAGCGACGCUUAUGCGUUGUUGGGUAGGGGAGCGUUCUGUAAGCCUGUGAAGGUGGCCUGUGAGGGUUGCUGGAGGUAUCAGAAGUGCGAAUGCUGACAUAAGUAACGAUAAAGCGGGUGAAAAGCCCGCUCGCCGGAAGACCAAGGGUUCCUGUCCAACGUUAAUCGGGGCAGGGUGAGUCGACCCCUAAGGCGAGGCCGAAAGGCGUAGUCGAUGGGAAACAGGUUAAUAUUCCUGUACUUGGUGUUACUGCGAAGGGGGGACGGAGAAGGCUAUGUUGGCCGGGCGACGGUUGUCCCGGUUUAAGCGUGUAGGCUGGUUUUCCAGGCAAAUCCGGAAAACCAAGGCUGAGGCGUGAUGACGAGGCACUACGGUGCUGAAGCGACAAAUGCCCUGCUUCCAGGAAAAGCCUCUAAGCAUCAGGUAACAUCAAAUCGUACCCCAAACCGACACAGGUGGUCAGGUAGAGAAUACCAAGGCGCUUGAGAGAACUCGGGUGAAGGAACUAGGCAAAAUGGUGCCGUAACUUCGGGAGAAGGCACGCUGAUAUGUAGGUGAAGUCCCUUGCGGAUGGAGCUGAAAUCAGUCGAAGAUACCAGCUGGCUGCAACUGUUUAUUAAAAACACAGCACUGUGCAAACACGAAAGUGGACGUAUACGGUGUGACGCCUGCCCGGUGCCGGAAGGUUAAUUGAUGGGGUUAGCGGUAACGCGAAGCUCUUGAUCGAAGCCCCGGUAAACGGCGGCCGUAACUAUAACGGUCCUAAGGUAGCGAAAUUCCUUGUCGGGUAAGUUCCGACCUGCACGAAUGGCGUAAUGAUGGCCAGGCUGUCUCCACCCGAGACUCAGUGAAAUUGAACUCGCUGUGAAGAUGCAGUGUACCCGCGGCAAGACGGAAAGACCCCGUGAACCUUUACUAUAGCUUGACACUGAACAUUGAGCCUUGAUGUGUAGGAUAGGUGGGAGGCUUUGAAGUGUGGACGCCAGUCUGCAUGGAGCCGACCUUGAAAUACCACCCUUUAAUGUUUGAUGUUCUAACGUUGGCCCGUAAUCCGGGUUGCGGACAGUGUCUGGUGGGUAGUUUGACUGGGGCGGUCUCCUCCUAAAGAGUAACGGAGGAGCACGAAGGUUGGCUAAUCCUGGUCGGACAUCAGGAGGUUAGUGCAAUGGCAUAAGCCAGCUUGACUGCGAGCGUGACGGCGCGAGCAGGUGCGAAAGCAGGUCAUAGUGAUCCGGUGGUUCUGAAUGGAAGGGCCAUCGCUCAACGGAUAAAAGGUACUCCGGGGAUAACAGGCUGAUACCGCCCAAGAGUUCAUAUCGACGGCGGUGUUUGGCACCUCGAUGUCGGCUCAUCACAUCCUGGGGCUGAAGUAGGUCCCAAGGGUAUGGCUGUUCGCCAUUUAAAGUGGUACGCGAGCUGGGUUUAGAACGUCGUGAGACAGUUCGGUCCCUAUCUGCCGUGGGCGCUGGAGAACUGAGGGGGGCUGCUCCUAGUACGAGAGGACCGGAGUGGACGCAUCACUGGUGUUCGGGUUGUCAUGCCAAUGGCACUGCCCGGUAGCUAAAUGCGGAAGAGAUAAGUGCUGAAAGCAUCUAAGCACGAAACUUGCCCCGAGAUGAGUUCUCCCUGAGACUUAGAGUCUCCUGAAGGAACGUUGAAGACGACGACGUUGAUAGGCCGGGUGUGUAAGCGCAGCGAUGCGUUGAGCUAACCGGUACUAAUGAACCGUGAGGCUUAACCUU